Non-coding RNA from Dermatophagoides farinae (American house dust mite), 2951 nucleotides. The record is from RefSeq and is a predicted model, not a curated record. Lineage: Eukaryota; Metazoa; Arthropoda; Arachnida; Sarcoptiformes; Pyroglyphidae.
UAAAUUUUAAUUCACUAAUUGAAUACACAACCAAAUAUAUAUAUGAUAUAGUUGAAUUUUAAUACGGUUAAUGGCAAACAGGCGAGAUUAAAGCGAUUCCAAAACUGAACUCUAAAGGCGUAAACGCCAACUGCUUAAGUAGCGGUGUAAAACAAAUCUAAUUAUCGAACACCAAUCUACUCCUCCUCUGUAGUAAUCGAGAUUCUUGGCCGCCCUCUUCUUCUAACUAGAGCGAGGUUCGAAGUUUGGUCGUGACAAAUUUUAAGUUGAUUCACAUGGACUCGGCGUUGAACUCCGUCGUUCCCAACUAAGUUAAAUAUCAAAGGAUUUUCGGUAGAGACAGCAACAAACGGACCAAGAAACUUCGGUUGAUGUUUUUGUUGUUGAUUGGUGAACAUAUUUUUCCAAUAGACACGUUUUCCAUCCAAAGCCAACGGCGAACGCGUGUUGUGAUGUUGAUAUAUUAUAUAUUAAAUAUGAUCAAAUAUGCUAUAUUUAAUUUAGUCUCAAGAUAAUUUGCAACAUUAUAAUUAAUAAAAAAAUAAUAAAAAUUAUAAUUAAUUGUAUACAAAGUGUGUUCAGAUUUUUUAAGCCAUAAUAAAGGAGUUUAAGAAUCAUUUUAGCCAAUUUUCAGAUUCAGAAAAUUUCAUUAAAUUCAUGCAAAAAAAAAUCGAGUAUCAAGUGGAAUGCAUUCUUUCUCAGUGUAACAAAAUACAAAUACAGGAGAAAACGAAAUCGAAAUUCAAAAAACUUUUAUUAUCUUCUUCUACUCUUUAAGAGGCUAAGGAUGUCUGUAAACUGCGGAGAAGCUGAGCCGAAAAUUCCUACUUAUUUUCAGUACAAACCUAACUAUUUGGUAUGAGCUACUCAGUGUGUGUGUGUGUGUGUGUGUGUCUGAGCAUGCGGGAAAACUUUUGAAUGCCGCUGAACAGUUCGUCCAGCUCAGAAGUAGAAGUCGCUUCCAAAGAAACGCAUUCUGUGGUAUGUAGCUUUGACAAAGCUUUUUUUCAUUGUUCUAGCUCAGCACACUUUGCUGCAGAUUUUGCAUCCAAUAGAUGGUGCAGUCAUUCAAUAGAACAUAGAAAGAGUUCGAAUUCGAAUUUUUCGAAUUGAUUAUUGUGAUAAUACAUGUGGCACGUGAUUUUCAUUUUGUUUGCCUGUGUGAGUGUGUAUUUGAUGAUGAAAUCUUGCCUGAAGACUGUAUUCAUUGGAAUGAUUUUUUCUUUGUUUUUGUUCCCGUGAUCUAUGAUCUACUCAUCGUUUGAAAAGCAUUUAAGAUUCAAUGUUGAGUGUCUUCAUGCGAUGAACCCACAAGGUUAUCCUAUAGGAUCUAUAGACACAAACUUGGAUUAAACAUUGGAUCGAUUAUCAUGUUCAGUCGCAAUAUUGAACCACAAAGUGGUUUGCUCAAUGGCAUGCGUUUAUUUGUAAAUACACGCAGCAUUGAAGCUCGAAUAUUGACAAGGAGGCUAUGAUUCAUUUUGCAGCAAAACGAUCAAGAUCCUAAGCUACCAUUUAAAUUGGUGCGUGGACAAUUUCCUGUCGUAUUGGCUUUUGCUCUGACAAUUAAUUAUUGUUUUAAGGGCAAUCUUUCGAUAAAAUAAGUGUGUACCUUCCUACACCAGUAUUGCAACAUGGAAUGAUUUAUAUGGCUUUUUGCCGCUGCAAAAAUCCUAAUAAUCUGAAGAUUUUUGUUUAGGAAAUUGAGGGGAAGAUCAACAACGACCACAGUAUUUAUACCAAAAAUAUCGUAUUUCUUCAACUUAUCGAUUAGCAAUAAUAAGUAUGCUGUUCGGUGUACGCAACUUUUUCAAAGGUAUCAGGUGCAAUGCACAAGUGAUGGCUGACCCUGCGGUACCAAACCGAAGGCCGGAAGCAACACGCCGUGCAUAGAAACCCACCGUCAGGCACGAAGCGUUAAAAUUGACACCUUUGACUGGAUACCAAGCAGGGGGGCGGCGCAGCCGCCACCCCUGCGGGUAUCCAGUUAUAUUGACCGUCAAGGAGUCAGCCCCGCAGGGCCAGACCAGGACAGGCGCGAAGCGCCUGUUCUCGGGCUGGUUUUUCAUUAUUUCAUAUAUUUGAAUAAUAUCCAUGUCGAAAUUCUCACAUAUGCAUAUUGUUUUGUGAAAACAAUCGAAAAAUAAUCGAAAUGACAAAAAAUCCAAUUUUUCAUAGAUUGCAAGUUCGUUGAUUUAUUUUUUAAGUACAAAUCGGAAAAAUCUUGCAUGCAACAUCAUCACCAGAAUUGGUAGCGGCAUUGCCAAUUUUUUUUGCAUGUGCCUCUCCUUCGUAAAAAAGCUGGCAGUACCGUGGUCGAUUAUCCAGAGUGUAUAUAAUUGAAAAACAAAACAAACCAUCCCUUCAUAAACAACGUACAAAAAAAACAAACGUAAACAAACCAACAAAAUUCGGGAAUUUAUGUACAGUAAAACCCCGCUUAACGUGGGUGUUACGUUCCAAUAACACCAUACCAAUAUAUUGGUUUGAUUAAUUCCAGCUUCAUAUUCAUAUUUUUGAAUAUUUUAAUUAUAUAUCAUCAUAUAUUUUAUAUUUAAUUAUAUUUUAAUCAUUACAGAUACAAAAAGCAUCAUUUUUCAUUUUUUAAUCCAUUAUUGCCAUUGAAAUACAUUGCCUGCCAAUAAACUUAUCAUCAUCAUCAUCAAUGCUUCAUCUAUGGACCACUCUUAUCGAGCCAUUAUCCCAUAGGAAUACAUUGUCUACCAUAGACACUUCAUUGAAUGUGUUGGCAAAUGAACUUGAUGAUGAAAAAAAAACUAAAUUCAGAUUCGAAUAUUUGGAAAUUAUUUUAUUUUUAUUUCAUAUUUUUUACAUUAUUUUAUAUUUGUUAUUUCCUUAUUUCCUGAUUGAUUUGUAUGAUUUGGAUGUCCUGGUUGGCCAUCGCCAACCUGUUGGAGAAAUUGAAAUAAAAUUAGUUUUUUGAAAAAAAA